AAACUCAAAUGAAUUGACGGGNGCCUGCACAAGCGGUGGAGCAUGUGGUUUAAUUCGAAGCAACGCGCAGAACCUUACCAGCGUUUGACAUGUCCGGACGAUUUCGGGAGACCGAUCUCUUCCCUUCGGGGACUGGAACACAGGUGCUGCGUGGCUGUUGUCAGCUCGUGUCGUGAGAUGUUGGGUUAAGUCCCGCAACGAGCGCAACCCUCGCCUUUAGUUACCAUCAUUCAGUUGGGGACUCUAAAGGAACCGCCGGUGAUAAGCCGGAGGAAGGUGGGGAUGACGUCAAGUCCUCAUGGCCCUUACGCGCUGGGCUACACACGUGCUACAAUGGCGGUGACAGUGGGCAGCAAUCCCGCAAGGGUGAGCUAAUCUCCAAAAGCCGUCUCAGUUCGGAUUGUUCUCUGCAACUCGAGAGCAUGAAGGCGGAAUCGCUAGUAAUCGCGGAUCAGCAUGCCGCGGUGAAUACGUUCCCAGGCCUUGUACACACCGCCCGU
RNAcentral lists this ribosomal RNA (500 nucleotides) under uncultured Pseudomonadota bacterium. Its description in RNAcentral is "bacterial SSU rRNA". It matches the Rfam family "Bacterial small subunit ribosomal RNA", at positions 897 to 1397 of the family's 1533-position model. The record is from RNAcentral. Lineage: Bacteria; Pseudomonadati; Pseudomonadota.